RNAcentral lists this ribosomal RNA (925 nucleotides) under Corynebacterium striatum. RNAcentral describes it as "bacterial SSU rRNA". It matches the Rfam family "Bacterial small subunit ribosomal RNA", at positions 490 to 1416 of the family's 1533-position model. The record is from RNAcentral. Lineage: Bacteria; Bacillati; Actinomycetota; Actinomycetes; Mycobacteriales; Corynebacteriaceae.
GCACCGGCUAACUACGUGCCAGCAGCCGCGGUAAUACGUAGGGUGCGAGCGUUGUCCGGAAUUACUGGGCGUAAAGAGCUCGUAGGUGGUUUGUCGCGUCGUCUGUGAAAUUCCGGGGCUUAACUCCGGGCGUGCAGGCGAUACGGGCUGACUUGAGUGCUGUAGGGGAGACUGGAAUUCCUGGUGUAGCGGUGAAAUGCGCAGAUAUCAGGAGGAACACCGAUGGCGAAGGCAGGUCUCUGGGCAGUAACUGACGCUGAGGAGCGAAAGCAUGGGUAGCGAACAGGAUUAGAUACCCUGGUAGUCCAUGCCGUAAACGGUGGGCGCUAGGUGUAGGGGGCUUCCACGUCUUCUGUGCCGUAGCUAACGCAUUAAGCGCCCCGCCUGGGGAGUACGGCCGCAAGGCUAAAACUCAAAGGAAUUGACGGGGGCCCGCACAAGCGGCGGAGCAUGUGGAUUAAUUCGAUGCAACGCGAAGAACCUUACCUGGGCUUGACAUAUACAAGACAGGCGUAGAGAUACGUCCUCCCUUGUGGUUUGUAUACAGGUGGUGCAUGGUUGUCGUCAGCUCGUGUCGUGAGAUGUUGGGUUAAGUCCCGCAACGAGCGCAACCCUUGUCUUAUGUUGCCAGCAUUUGGUUGGGGACUCAUGAGAGACUGCCGGGGUCAACUCGGAGGAAGGUGGGGAUGACGUCAAAUCAUCAUGCCCCUUAUGUCCAGGGCUUCACACAUGCUACAAUGGUCGGUACAACGCGCAGCGACACUGUGAGGUGGAGCGAAUCGCUGAAAGCCGGCCUUAGUUCGGAUUGGGGUCUGCAACUCGACCCCAUGAAGUCGGAGUCGCUAGUAAUCGCAGAUCAGCAACGCUGCGGUGAAUACGUUCCCGGGCCUUGUACACACCGCCCGUCACGUCAUGAAAGUUGGUA